GCCCCGUUGACGGAUUGAACGGUAGCCGGUAGCGAGAACCGGACGGGGU
RNAcentral lists this non-coding RNA (49 nucleotides) under unclassified sequences. RNAcentral's name for it is "DUF2693-FD RNA". It matches the Rfam family "DUF2693-FD RNA". Rfam says of the family: DUF2693-FD RNA is a non-coding RNA (ncRNA) recognised in Bacteroides by a bioinformatic analisis by Zasha Weinberg. No recognised genes. The record is from Rfam by way of RNAcentral.